UGAUCUUCCAAAGAACUGUUGGCUGUUUUUUCAUGAGGAAAGAAAGAAGAUGAGCUGAGCAGAGUGGUGGGACCAAGUACUGCAAGGUCAACCUGAGCUUUUUAUCCAUCUCCUUACCCUUGGCAGCUGAGAAGACCACCAGGCUGAACAGCCCCCUAAUUACUGUGAUGGCAUUGCCUUGAUUUUGUACUGCAACAUGGCUGUGAUUUGGAGCUUGUCAGCUGAAACUGCUCCACAGAACUGUUGCUCUUUAUCUGGGCUGAGCAAUCAACUUGACAGAGUAUGUGUUUUGCCUGUUUCCCUUGAGCUGGAACUUCAGUACCUGAGAGAACUUGGCCGCAUGUGUGAUUUUUCUGGAAUUCACAGAGUCAUGGAUGAAACGUUACUGAUUCGGAACAGAGACCUGUGGAAUGCCAUGAGCAGCACCAGGGCAGCACUGGGGCCAUGGCCACCCCCCACCCAAUGGUAUGUUUGGUUGUUAUGGGACAUUUGUAGGGUCACUGUGCCACAGCUCUGUGAUCUCACGAGCCACCUCCCUCC
RNAcentral lists this long non-coding RNA (540 nucleotides) under Gallus gallus (chicken). Its description in RNAcentral is "lncRNA (ENSGALG00010020020.1)". Lineage: Eukaryota; Metazoa; Chordata; Aves; Galliformes; Phasianidae. The record is from RNAcentral.